Molecule: ribosomal RNA, 305 nt
Filed under: uncultured bacterium
Lineage: Bacteria
Description: bacterial SSU rRNA
Rfam family: Bacterial small subunit ribosomal RNA
Source: RNAcentral
UUCCUACGGGAGGCAGCAAUGGGGGAUAUUGCACAAUGGGGGGAACCCUGAUGCAGCGACGCCGCGUGGGUGAAGGAGUGCUUCGGCAUGUAAAGCCCUAUCGGCAGGGAAGAAGCAAGACGGUACCUGACUAAGAAGCCCCGGCUAACUACGUGCCAGCAGCCGCGGUAAUACGUAGGGGGCGAGCGUUGUCCGGAAUCACUGGGCGUAAAGGGCGCGUAGGCGGUUUAAUAAGUCAGUGGUGAAAACUGAGGGCUCAACCCUCAGCCUGCCACUGAUACUGUUAGACUUGAGUAUGGAAGAGG